Molecule: long non-coding RNA, 8227 nt
Organism: Stegostoma tigrinum
Lineage: Eukaryota; Metazoa; Chordata; Chondrichthyes; Orectolobiformes; Stegostomatidae
Exons: 5
Source: RefSeq, a predicted model, not a curated record
GGGAGGGCGGGAUCAGUGAAAACCACGUGAUCAUCCACGAGUGCGGUGCAGAGUCGCUGAGAAAACCGGAACGGCAGAUGCUGGAGAAUCCGAGAUAACACGGUGUGCAGCUGGAUGUACACAGCAGGUCAAGCAGCAUCAGAGGAGCAGGAAAGCUGACGUUUCGGGCCUAGAUCCCUCGCUGAGACCAAGAUUUGUGCAAUUGAGAUACCAGCGAUCGUUGCCAAAGCCCUGUUACCUGUGGAGAAGGUGAUGUUUAACUUUCGUGUGCUACUGCAGUUUGUAUGAUAAAGGUGCUCUCACAAUGCUCCAUUUGAGAAGUUACAGAUCAUUCAUCUAGCGAUACUGAAGAGCUAAUGGUGAUAUUACAAGUGGACUUUCAGGUAGGAAGCUCAAUAAUUGUAACACCAAACUCUGACAGAAUUACUCAAUUCAUCAGGACCUGGAUAUUCGCAUUGUGUAUUUCCACAAUUUUACUUCUGCACUGCUCUUACUCUUUCAGAGGGAUUGAAAGGUGGAGUUACAGAUCUAUACAAUGACUGUCCUUCCUCGCUGGCUCUCCCAAUUCUCUCUUUUGGUAGUUUGAUGCAAACACUGACUGGAUCCCUUACCUGGAGGAUAUUUAUGAAUGAAUUUGUUCUAAUGGUGAUCCAGCAUAUUCCCCAAGUGUUGCUGUACACAUGUCCAGAGAAUUUCUCAGUUUCACAAUCUGUGUCCUUCUGGUUUCUUACUUACUUUCUCUUUGAAAGUAUAGUCUGCAGUUGGAGAAUUUAAACAGGCCCACAUCCAGGUCUGACGGUCACUUUGUUUAUCACAACCCAAUUUUCUCAGGAUUUUGAACAUUGAAGGAAAAAGCAGCACUCACAUUGGGGAGAAAUGCACAUGGUGUGUGUGUUGAAGAGUCUGUGAAGAUUCAUCUGAAAUGUCCAAACACCAGUGCAGUGACACUGGGAGACAGUGUGGAAAUGUGCAGAUUGCAGGAAGGAAUUUCUUCAUCCAUCCCAGCUAGAAACUGACCACCAGAGUCACACUGGAGAGAGACCAUUGACCUGUUCUGCGUGAGGGAAAGGCUUUGCUGACUCGAAUUCCCCGCUGAUACACCAGCGAGUUCACUCUGGGGAGAGACCUUUCAUGAGCUCUGUGUGGGAAGGGAUUCAUUGUCAUCCAAACUGUUAACACACCAGCGAGUUCGCAGACAACCACAGUUGAAGAACAUUGCUGUCACUCUCACUAUCAAAUAAACCAUGGUGUUGGGCUGUUUGUACAGAUGUUACCGAUACCUGCUCAAUUAAAGGUGCUGGUAUUGUGAAUAAAAUGUCACACUAACAGUUGUGUAAGGUAGAGCUUGGAAAUAGUCACGUUGUCACAACACAUCGACACAUUCACACUGACUAAAGCCUAUCCACCUGCAUGAUAUGUGAAAAGGGAUUUCCUGGUACAUUCCUGGUUCCUGGUUAACGACCAGCAAAUUUCUGAAUAAGUUGAUUGGUUUGAAUAUAGCUAACAGUAGAAUCAAAAAUAGUAUCAGUGAUAAUGGGAACUGCAGAUGCUGGAGAAUCCAAGAUAACAAAAAGUGUGGAGCUGGAUGAACAUAGCAGGCCAAGCAGCAUCUCAGGAGCACAAAAGCUGACUUUUCGGGCCUAGAGAAGGGUCAAGGCCUGAAACGUCAGCUUUUGUGCUCCUGAGAUGCUGCUUGGCCUGCUGUGUUCAUCCAGCUCCACACUUUGUUAUAGUCGAUUCAAAAACCAUGUGUUUUGGGCUUGUUUCUGGAGAUCAUAGAAUCCCUCCACUGUGGGAGCAGACCACUUAGCCCAUCAAGUCCGCACUGACCUGACGAAGAUUGUCUUACCCAGACACUGUCUGCGUGAGUUUCCUCCAGAUGCUCUGGUUUCCUCCCACAGUCCAAAAAUGUGCAAAUUAUGUAGAUUCACUAUGCUAAAUUGCCCAUAGUAUCUUGUGUGCAAAAUGCAGGGAUAGGGUAGGGUGUGAGACUGGUUGGGAUGCUCUUUGCAGGGUUGAUAUUGACUGAAUGGCCAUCUUCCACACUGUAGGAAUUCUGUGAUGAUCUCGAUGGCCCUUUAUUUGUUAGAUAGGUCUGCACACCUUUACAAUGACAGAUUCUGUUGCUCUCCCACAGACAUUUGUUUAUUGGAAACAAUGUAAUCUUUCAGUUUGUGGAUAAAAAUCAAAGGAAUGUUUUAAAUCCAAACAUAGGAUUGGGUUGAGUCAUGUCCUAUAAUCCCUGAUUUGCAUUUUCCCCGUCGGCUAUGAAACCUGGUGACCGCUGUGACUCUGCCUGGGAGCAUUGCAGUCUCGUCAGCUCUUUACCUGGUGUCCAUAGCAGUGAUGGAUCUCAUGACGGAAACAUAAACCAAAACAUUGUGUGAUUUCUAGUACAUAUUUUCUAUUUAGUCUUCUGUCCAUCACUUCCCUAGAGGCUGAGAUACUGGUCUGGGGACCUAGGUGUGAAUCCAUCUGGAAAUAAGAAUGUGAUGAUGACUGUCAAUCCAUUGCCUUUGUUGGAAAAACCCAUCUGUUCACCAAUGGCCUACAGGGAAGGAAACUGCCAUUCUUAUCCAGUGAUGUGAUCAUCCCAUGAAUGAAUUUUUUAAAAAAAUUAAAAACUCCUGCAAAUACGUUAAACUGUCUUAAUUUAUUUGACAGCUGACAGUUCAAACUGCUUGAUGGUCACUUUCUCUUUUGAUCAAGUUGUGGCCAUUUCAUAGUUGAAACCAUAGUAAUUCUCGUACAAACAGUGCAUGCUCUGACAUGCCACUUAUGAACCAGACAUCCACGUUGACCAUAUCCUGAUGCUGUGUACCACGAAAGCAAAAUUCUUCACCAUCUUAUCUACUUGUGUUGCAAUUUCAGAGAGCUAUGGACUUGAACCUCCCAAACUCCCGAACACUUUUUGAGAAUUUCAUCAAACUGACCUCCAAUGGCAGGAAUGGACAGGGUCAGCUUGGAUUGAUGAUCAUAAUUCAGGCUCAACAAAUCUACUGGAGCAUUUUGAAGAUGUAACUGGUGACCAUCUGCUGACUCGCCCUUGACUGACUGCUGGUAAUAACAGUGAUAAGCUGCAUGGCUUAUGCCUGCAGUAAACAGCCAGGCAAGACAGGAGCACUGUGAGACAUUAGGUUCUAGUUGAGACAUCAAAGUGCUAAAAUGCCAGGGAAAGGCAGAGAUAUUGUGGCAGGCCCUAAGCAGAACAUGCCUCAGGUGCUGAAAAGCAUGUAGAGUUCUGACAGCAAGAAUGUACUUUGUGGACAGGCAAUUCUGCAUCUUGAUGUAACAUUUUUAUUUCACUCUGGCUCAUUUUGCUAGAUCUGCAAAUAUCUAUUGGUCUGGCUAAUUUGAGAAUUGGCUUUCGGUGUAAUGUGCUGAUUCAUUUCUGGAGAAACUCAGCAGGUCUAGAUGCAUCUUUGGAGACAGAGAAACAGAGUUAAGGCUUUAAGUCCAGCGAGGCCCUUCUUCAGAACUGAACAGGUUCAGAAAAUGGCCUUUUUAAUACCUUACCAGAGGUGGAGGAGGGCUAACAGAAAACAGAGGGUGUUGGGAUGCGGUGCAAAAUACAAAUGGGCUUUUAAUUGUGUUGAAAGAGAAGCAGAUGUACAAUGAGAGUAAAUAAAGUUGUGAAUGGGGGAGAUGGGUUCCCUCCACUGAAUGCAAUGUUAACAAGACACAAACAAGACAAGGUCACAUCGUCUGUGCCAUAUUGUGUUCAUCAUAUCUCCAAUAAUAACCCUGAAUGUGUUGAGCAUAUGUGAACAAUCUUAUAUGUCUACACACAUACGCUGAUUAAACAGUGUAUAUAAAAUCAUUUCUCCUCCGUUCCGUUGCAACCUAUCGUGUUUUUUUCACCUGUCAGUCGCCAUUCCUUCAGCCAAAUUUAUUCUGUCUCUUUCUCUGCAUUUUAUUUUAUUCCAUCUAUGAAGAAGAAAUUGCCUAAUGGGCGAUAUCAUGUUAGUCCUGUCCAGUCUGCACAGCCACUGUCCCCUCUUCCUUACUGUUCCUUAAUCACUCACAUAGAUAUUGUCUCUGACCCUUUACUCCCAAUAAGCAAAGCAAUUGGAAAUGUAAUGUUUAGUUUUGGGCUCAGGCUAAAAAAUUGGUCAGGAAAGGCUGUAUAAACUGCAAAAAAUUUGUUUGCAACUUUAGAAGCAAAUUAUUGAAAAUAUUGUGUUAAGGAUAAAAUGUUCAUUUAUUAGUGCAGUGAGAGGAAAGUUCAGCAAAACCCACAUUUCCUGCCUUUCUCCAGGCAGUUGUGGCCAGAGAUGUGUUUGGAUUGGCAGUUGUUGUGGUGGAGGAGACUUCGGUGAAAUAACAACCUCUCAUUUGGCUCUGAGGAAAAUGGUUACAUACGUCAUCACAUGUGGAUAACACAGCAGAAUCAUCGAGCCUGUGCAGAGAAAGUAUCAACUUUCUCCUCUGUCUCUAUCAUUGUGAGAUGAAUUGGAGAUGGGCAUUGAGACCAAUAGCAGGCAAUGUCACCCAAACCAGGUAUUGUUGUUACAUUAAAAGUGUCAGAGUGAAAGGGGUUAACGGGAGCUGUUUGUUCAGUGACUCGAAUUAAUGUCAGUCUCCAUGGAUACUAACUGUGUCACUGGAGGGUUUCCCUCUUCUAUUAAUAAGGGGUUUCUCCCAAUGCGUUAUCCCACAGUAUCUGUGGCUGUGGCAUAUUCAACACAAUUGGGAUCAGCAGCUCCAGAGAUGUGGAGAGAUCAGAAUCUGUGACCAGCAGAUUGGGAUGUUCCAAAUGAUGGAUCAGAAUCUCAGAACCACAGCCGGGAAUGUGACAACAAUGUAUAAGAAACUGAGAGGAAUAGAUUGGAAUGUUCCAACAAUGGACAGGAGUUUAUCCUCUGGCCUUUACUAUCUUUCUAUCAAUUGGUUACCAUUAACAUUGUGGAUAGAAGCUGUCCUGAUGGUUAUUCAGGCGGGUUACUAUCCCAUCCUCGCUAUUGUUGGUGUUCCCGGUAAGUCUCUCUAUCUCUGCCCAUUCAUUUAUUCUGUGACCAGCGACUCAAUUUCUAAGCUCUGUAUUUGGCAACGAAGGAAACUAUUGUAUUCACUUUCAGUGACAAACUCAACUCUUAUUCCAGGGUUUUUUUCACCUUCACUUACAAACACCCGAGGAGGAAGAAAAGUGUUCAUAACCACCAUUGGCCCAUUUUGUCCUGAUCUGAUUUAUAUCACAAUAUUCCCUUUAUCACUAAUAAUAUCCUCAGUUUUCACUUCCGCUUCAGUGCUGUUUCUGAUUAAAUCAUAAUCUGCUCCUUUCCAGUUGCAGCUCUCUUCUGGCCACACUUGCAGUUACUAAUAUUUUGAUUGUAUUCUUAUUUUUAUCUCUACCUCGACCUAUGCCAGUUGCAAAGUGUGAAGCCAGUUUGAUUCUAAAAUGAGGAGGUUACAGCUUUGUGUCAGUGGUUUCAGCAUAACCCGUCGAUGGCCAUCAAAUGACAGUUCAUUGAACUGUUUAGAUUCUAGAACUUUCCAAGUAGCAGUGGUGCCAUGUCCAUUAUCUCUGAAGUGCAGUGCUCCGAUGUGUUCACUUGUUGAAGGAGGCAGUGUCUCUUCACCCCAACCCCCACUGACCCACUGCUGAGUGGGAUACAUUACUCUGUCUCCACAGAAUAAGAUAUAGGAAAUCUUCCAGAAAUUCUACAGGACUGUGACUGUGAAAAUGAGAAACUGUGGGAGAUUAGAAUUAAUAAAGCGGAACUGCUCAAAACUAAUUGAACUGAAGUUUGGUACUUUGCUCUGGUAUGUCCCAGAGAUUACAUGGAGGUGGGAAUAGAGCUUGUGAAAGAGUUACAGGGUCAGACAGCUCUUCAGUCCAACCAGUCCAUGUCAAACAUAAUCCCAAACUAUCCCAGUCCCACCUGCCUGGGCUUGGCCCAUAUCUCUCCAACUGUUUCCUGUUCAUGAACUUGUCCAAAUGUCAUUUAAAACUUGUAACUACGAGAAAGAAUUAUUGAUUACCAUUCAGAAUUCUUCAGAUUCAGGAAUUGCCAGUUCCUGCAGAAUGGAAGUAGCUGUUGUAACGCACAUUAAAAAAAAACUGGAGUGAGAGGGAAAUCAAAAUAAAAAUAAAUUUUGGACAACUUGAUAUCUGUUAUGAGAAAAAUAUGGAACCUUUUUUGAGGGCUGUAAAAACUAGACACUUGGGAAAUCAUGAUAUGACUUGGCAGAGUCAACUUCGAUUCAGGAAAGGGAAGUUAUCUUUGGUAAACCUGUGCAGUUUAUGUUAAUUGAAACAUCCAAAAAUUUCAGAUGUGUGUCCAAAUUAUCCCCAGAAAUGUCUUCCAUUGCUACUCCACCAUCUUCCCUAAGAUUCUAUUCCUAAUAACUCCAGCCCGUUCCUUCCUCAUGAUGUUUUUUUAGUUUCAUCACUCAGUUGUAAUUGUGUCACAUCCAAAUGCAAACAAUACAUUUAAACUGAAAGAGGGAGCUUUGAGAGAUAAAACAUGGAGAAAGAUUGGAGUAUUCAUUAACUUGAUUUAUGUCAUGUAUGUAUGAGAUAGAGAGAGAGAGAAUAUGGGUGAUGAGAUGUGAAAAUAGAGAAAACUGCAUUAUCGACUGAAGUUGAUGUACUUUCCAACUUGUUUUGGCAAUUCCUGUGUGUUGUGAUCCUUUGCCCAGUGCAUGUACGACUGAGUAAUAUGUAUAUAAUAGUUGAAGUAUCCACACAUGAGAACCAGUGAGAGCGGUGUAUUUGAAUUUACAGAGUACUUUUGAUAUGGUUGCACACAGGUGAGUGAAUAAAAUUAGAGUUGAGAGGUAAGGUGGAAUAUACUACAUGGAUUGAGAAUUGUUUAGUUGACGCAAUACAGAGAGUGGAGCCCUUUUCCAGGCUGAAUGCUGCUCGUUAUGGGGUAUCACAUGAAUCAGUGUUUGGACCACAGUAAUUUAAAAGGCAUACAAACUAUUUGGAUGUGGCCAGCAACAGCAUACAUCUCAUUUUGUAAUGAUUAAAUGAUGUGAGGUUGGGAAGUGUUGUGGUCACAAAAGGGCCUGCAUGUCCUUGAUCAUAGGUCACCAAAAUUAGUACAUGCAGCGCUAUCAGUCAUGUGGGAAGUAAAUGGUAUGUUGUCCUUCAUUGUAAGAUGAUUCAUGUACAUGAAUAAAACCAUAUGUCUGCACAUGUACAGCCUUGAUGAAAGACUAUUUAUGGGCACUGUGCAUAGGCUUGAUCCCUUUUGUAAUGAAAGAACUCCUUGCCACAGACACGGUACAAAUGGUCAUCACCAGUCUAAUCCCUGAGAUGAUGGUACCAUGAGGAGCGAGUGAAGAAAGUGAGUGUUUAAUAUGUUGUGCUGUGAGAGAAUCAGAGAUUACUGCAUUAAAAUUACAAAGUUGGUGAUGAACUCUUUUAUCCACAAAAGAAAUUGAUAGGGUGAGAAAUCCCAUACGUGACCCAUGUAAAUACAUGUGGAUUUUACAUAUAAAAUGACAUAGAGCCCCACAGUGAUUCAGAGAGAAGCACAGGCUCUGAAUGAACUCUCCCCACAUUAAUCUGUGACCUUACACUGAACCCGAUGUUGUUCACAAUCCUGACAGCAGCCCAAAUACCCUCUUUGUGACAUUAGCCAGACCAACCAGAUUCUGAUCUCCAUAGAGAACGGAAGCAUGUAUUUUCAGAGGAUGCCACUUGUGAUUUUGCACAAAACAUUAGUCUUCCCACCACACUACUGUAAAACUGCAUUAAAGUACUGCAUGUGUACCAUGAACAAUGGAGGCAUGUUGACCAGCGUGAAGCAGACUAUCUGUACAGCCUAGCUCCAUUUGCUUGUCAUGUUACCUAAGUCUGUUUACAUGUAAGUGACUGUAGGGUCUCAAUGGCCUUCUCCUUUUCAUAUGUAGGGACGCAAGGGGCUGUACAGCAGGGCCAAAUGCUGAAUUGAUCCACCCUGGGCUCCUGAGGAACAGUUCGAUGUGUUCAUGUGACAUUGCUGUAACUAAGCUAUUGGUGUCUCAAUGGAGUUGGAAGCUUCAGUGAAUGUCUCCUGACUGCAGAAUUUUCUUUGGAUGAUUAUUUUCUCCUCCUGAAUUGGAGAACCGCAUGUGAGAACCUUCUCUGAAUUUUAUUUCUGACCAAAGUGUCUGUUUAUGGGCUGCUACUAUGCUGGAACAGUUAAUUAGUAAUAUUUGCUAUAGCUAUUAUACUAUAAGUUUAUCCACCAGAGCGAGGUUAUUCUAAAUUCCUUUUUUUUGGUUCUACUUUGAC